AUGGCGACCGGCGCACGGGUGAGUAACGCGUAUCCAACCUGCCCUUUACUAUGGGACAGCCCGUCGAAAGGCGGAUUAAUACCGUAUGUUGUCAUGUUGAUGCAUAUUUUCAUGACCAAAGGCUUCGGCCGGUAAAGGAUGGGGAUGCGUCUGAUUAGCUUGCCGGCGGGGUAACGGCCCACCGGGGCGACGAUCAGUAGGGGUUCUGAGAGGAAGGUCCCCCACAUUGGAACUGAGACGCGGUCCAAACUCCUACGGGAGGCAGCAG
Molecule: ribosomal RNA, 268 nt
Filed under: uncultured bacterium
Lineage: Bacteria
Description: partial 16S ribosomal RNA
Rfam family: Bacterial small subunit ribosomal RNA
Source: RNAcentral